GGCUGAGAAAGUGUCUGAAAGAUAUUUUCCAUCCUCUGUUCACACAGGUCAGAAGAUUUUUGUUCUUGGUUAACAGCUGUUUUUCCCCAUUGUAUUCAUACAUUCUCAGUUUUCUGCUGACAGAUAUUUCUCUUCCCAGAAAUCCCAAAUAGGGGGAAAAAUCUGGCAUUUGUGCAGAAAGCCAUCUCAGCUGCAGAGCUACAAAUGAUUUGGUUAGCUGUUUUGCUGAGAGGAAAGAAGGAACGUCUCAAAGAAUGGAGGUCUGCUCUGAGAAUAAAGAAGUUGAUGAGAAAAGCAAGAAGAACUAAGAAUCUUCUUUGCAAGCCUUUUGAGUUCUGUGCCCUGCUGAUUAAAAGAAAGCCAUGGCCUCCCUAAUGAAAGGGUUGAUGAGUUAAGAAGAUACAAAAU
This 408-nucleotide long non-coding RNA is filed under the name Apteryx owenii (little spotted kiwi). RNAcentral's name for it is "lncRNA (ENSAOWG00000018277.1)". The record is from RNAcentral. Lineage: Eukaryota; Metazoa; Chordata; Aves; Apterygiformes; Apterygidae.